AGUGAACGCUGGCGGUAGGCCUAACACAUGCAAGUCGAGCGGCAGCACAGUAAGAGCUUGCUCUUACGGGUGGCGAGUGGCGGACGGGUGAGGAAUACAUCGGAAUCUACUUUUUCGUGGGGGAUAACGUAGGGAAACUUACGCUAAUACCGCAUACGACCUACGGGUGAAAGCAGGGGGUCUUCGGACCUUGCGCGACUGAAUGAGCCGAUGUCGGAUUAGCUAGUUGGCGGGGUAAAGGCGCACCAAGGCGACGAUCCGUAGCUGGUCUGAGAGGAUGAUCAGCCACACUGCAACUGAGACACGGUCCAGACUCCUACGGGAGGCAGCAGUGGGGAAUAUUGGACAAUGGGCGCAAGCCUGAUCCAGCCAUACCGCGUGGGUUAAGAAGGCCUUCGGGUUGUAAAGCCCUUUUGUUGGGAAAGAAAAGCAGCAGGUUAAUACCCCGCUGUUCUGACGGUACCCAAAGAAUAAGCACCGGCUAACUUCGUG
This 492-nucleotide ribosomal RNA is filed under the name uncultured bacterium. RNAcentral's name for it is "partial 16S ribosomal RNA". It matches the Rfam family "Bacterial small subunit ribosomal RNA", at positions 29 to 507 of the family's 1533-position model. The record is from RNAcentral.